This 468-nucleotide ribosomal RNA is filed under the name uncultured bacterium. RNAcentral's name for it is "partial 16S ribosomal RNA". It matches the Rfam family "Bacterial small subunit ribosomal RNA", at positions 28 to 507 of the family's 1533-position model. The record is from RNAcentral.
GACGAACGCUGGCGGCGUGCUUAACACGUGCAAGUCGAACGGAAAGGCCCUGCUUUUGUGGGGUGCUCGAGUGGCGAACGGGUGAGUAACACGUGAGUAACCUGCCCUUGACGUUGGGAUAACGUCAGGAAACUGGGGCUAAUACCGGAUAGGAGCUCCUGCUGCAUGGUGGGGGUUGGAAAGUUUCGGCGGUUGGGGAUGGACUCGCGGCUUAUCAGCUUGUUGGUGGGGUAGUGGCUUACCAAGGCUUUGACGGGUAGCCGGCCUGAGAGGGUGACCGGCCACAUUGGGCCUGCGAUACGGCCCAGACUCCUACGGGAGGCAGCAGUGGGGAAUAUUGCACAAUGGGCGGAAGCCUGAUGCAGCAACGCCGCGUGCGGGAUGACGGCCUUCGGGUUGUAAACCGCUUUCGCCUGUGACGAAGCGUGAGUGACGGUAAUGGGUAAAGAAGCACCGGCUAACUACGUG